RNAcentral lists this ribosomal RNA (254 nucleotides) under uncultured bacterium. RNAcentral describes it as "partial 16S ribosomal RNA". It matches the Rfam family "Bacterial small subunit ribosomal RNA", at positions 335 to 607 of the family's 1533-position model. The record is from RNAcentral.
AGCCUACGGGACGCAGCAGUGGGGGAUAUUGCACAAUGGGGGGAACCCUGAUGCAGCGACGCGGCGUGGGCGAUGGAGUGCUUCGGCAUGUAAAGCCCUAUCAGCAGGGAAGAAAAUGACGGUACCUGACUAAGAAGCCCCGGCUAAAUACGUGCCAGCAGCCGCGGAAAUACGUAUGGGGCAAGCGUUAUCCGGAUUUACUGGGUGUAAAGGGUGCGUAGGUGGCAGGGCAAGUCAGAUGUGAAAGCCCGGGG